AACCAUAGAAACCUGCGGAGUACCUGCGGAGGGAUCAUUAUAGUAUAUGGAAUCUCCAUUCUAUAAACCCACUCUGCGUAUCUUGUAACUGUUGCUUCCAUGGGACUUGGUUCCGCCACACCGGCUUCACGGCUGGUGAGCGCCCAUGGAAGGAGAAACAAAACUCUUCUUUGAAAUGUAGUCAGUCUGAACAAGUUUUUAUAAACGUUAAAACUUUCACAACGGAUCUCAGAUCGGAAG
Molecule: unclassified non-coding RNA, 240 nt
Filed under: soil metagenome
Description: partial contains 5.8S ribosomal RNA, internal transcribed spacer 2, and large subunit ribosomal RNA
Source: RNAcentral